UCCGAUUGAAUCUGCUUUUUCCUGGAUGCUCUAUAGGAAUCCAUCGCUAUUCCUUUCCUCCACCGAUAAAGGUUCAUCCCGCAGGGCUUGGCUUGACCCUGUAUUCUCCCGGGUCGGAGGCGAGCAAAAGAAUCAUUCUUUAUGAAUCAAGUACCAUUCAAACAAAGGGUGCAUUGCCUCUUUGAGUGAAGAAGAGAGGGG
Molecule: long non-coding RNA, 201 nt
Filed under: Solanum pimpinellifolium
Lineage: Eukaryota; Viridiplantae; Streptophyta; Magnoliopsida; Solanales; Solanaceae
Description: long non-coding RNA (SPIM_LNC000069)
Source: RNAcentral